AGUGAACGCUGGCGGUAGGCCUGACACAUGCAAGUCGAACGGCAGCACAGUAAGAGCUUGCUCUUACGGGUGGCGAGUGGCGGACGGGUGAGGAAUACAUCGGAAUCUACUUUUUCGUGGGGGAUAACGUAGGGAAACUUACGCUAAUACCGCAUACGACCUACGGGUGAAAGCAGGGGAUCUUCGGACCUUGCGCGAUUGAAUGAGCCGAUGUCGGAUUAGCUAGUUGGCGGGGUAAAGGCCCACCAAGGCGACGAUCCGUAGCUGGUCUGAGAGGAUGAUCAGCCACACUGGAAGUGAGACACGGUCCAGGCACCUACGGGAGGCAGAGGUGGGGAAUAUUGGACAAUGGGCGCAAGCCUGAUCCAGCCAUACCGCGUGGGUGAAGAAGCCUUCGGGUUGUAAAGCCCUUUUGUUGGGAAAGAAAAGCAGCAGGUUAAUACCCCGCUGUUCUGACGGUACCCAAAGAAUAAGCACCGGCUAACUUCGUG
Molecule: ribosomal RNA, 491 nt
Filed under: uncultured bacterium
Lineage: Bacteria
Description: partial 16S ribosomal RNA
Rfam family: Bacterial small subunit ribosomal RNA
Source: RNAcentral